RNAcentral lists this ribosomal RNA (451 nucleotides) under uncultured bacterium. RNAcentral describes it as "partial 16S ribosomal RNA". It matches the Rfam family "Bacterial small subunit ribosomal RNA", at positions 354 to 796 of the family's 1533-position model. The record is from RNAcentral.
GUGGGGAAUAUUGGACAAUGGGGGGAACCAUGAUCCAGCCAUGCCGCGUGUGUGAAGAAGGCCUUUUGGUUGUAAAGCACUUUAAGCGAGGAGGAGGCUACCGAGAUUAAUACUCUUGGAUAGUGGACGUUACUCGCAGAAUAAGCACCGGCUAACUCUGUGCCAGCAGCCGCGGUAAUACAGAGGGUGCAAGCGUUAAUCGGAUUUACUGGGCGUAAAGCGCGCGUAGGUGGCCAAUUAAGUCAAAUGUGAAAUCCCCGAGCUUAACUUGGGAAUUGCAUUCGAUACUGGUUGGCUAGAGUAUGGGAGAGGAUGGUAGAAUUCCAGGUGUAGCGGUGAAAUGCGUAGAGAUCUGGAGGAAUACCGAUGGCGAAGGCAGCCAUCUGGCUUAAUACUGACACUGAGGUGCGAAAGCAUGGGGAGCAAACAGGAUUAGAUACCCGGGUAGUCC